Molecule: ribosomal RNA, 60 nt
Filed under: uncultured organism
Description: partial 16S ribosomal RNA
Source: RNAcentral
AGGACUUGACAUCCCCCUGACGGGAGUAGAGAUAUUCCGUCCCUUCGGGGCAGGGGAGAC